GCUGUGGAAGUCGACGCCAUCCCAUCAUCAGAGAGCCCUGAGGCCGCCAUUGGCAGGUCCACUCUCUUCCUCAGCCUCAACUCUUGUCCGAAGAACGGACACAACGACCACGCGGACUUUACCGGCGUUCGUGAGCUGGGACUGGAACAUUUGCCGGAGAAGAUCCGUGUGCCGGCCGUGGUGGAUUAUCUCAAGGCCGAGUCCAACAUGACGGUCAGAGUUUUGGUAAAAUGGACAAGCAAGAACCGCCCAAACGAGGAUUCCUGUGCCAAAUUCAGGGGAACUAACAUGACACGAACAGCGUCAGGGACAUGUAUCCUAGACAACAAACACGACUUCGUGUUGACGCCUUGCAAAGUUCCCAACUGUCCCAGGGCAGAGGACCUCGGGCGCAACCAUUUCUACUACGAGGGCGAUCUAAAAAUAUUCACCAAUCGUCACGUGUUGUUCGAUGACGACGAACUGAACAACACGGUGGUUGAUUUUUUUUACGACAGUGACGACAGAGACGGUGUCGUCAGAGAAUCGGCGACCAGGUUAUUUUAUUCCAAGCGCCCGACGGACCGGACUUUUUUUAAGGUGUCCAUCCACGAUAAGGACCUGUUGCUGAGGUUGGGCCAACUUGAAAUCAACAGGACCAUCGCGUUUCAAAAAAUUCCCACGUUUGUUUUAAGGAGAAUGUCUGCGUUUGCGAUCGUCAUAUCCCAUCCUCAUGGUAUGCCGAAAAAAAUCAGUAUCGGUCACGUGAUCCGGGUGACAGAAGAAAACAUUACACCGGAAACGAUGUCGAACGCUAAAAUAGUAGGGAGGCUGGAGAGAGCGUGGUUUGCUUCUCGGAGUCAGGCGGACUAUAGAGAGUAUAUGAAGGCUCUGGGCACGCUGGAUAUGCCGAUGUAUAAAGUCUGGUACAACACCCCCACCUGUCAGGGGAGUUCAGGGGCGCCGGUCUUGUUCGGCGCCCGACAAUGCAGCGGGACGUGGGGUCCCUACAUGGCCUUCCACACGGCCUAUGAGUUCGAUUUUAAUUUAAAUUUCUUUAAAGUUGCCAGAUUUAUGAAUUAAAAACUAUUUUAUGUACAGAA
Long non-coding RNA from Physella acuta, 1082 nucleotides. RefSeq lists it as uncharacterized. The record is from RefSeq and is a predicted model, not a curated record. Lineage: Eukaryota; Metazoa; Mollusca; Gastropoda; Physidae.